GUCUGAGUGGCCUGACCAAUCUGUGACGGGGGUUGGUACGUAUCUCAUCUGGGGGAUGGAUUUUUGUGGAAUUCCCUAGUUAAUUUGCAUAUUCUGGUUUCCGCCUCGUUUGACAUAGCCAAAUUGAGGUCGAGGAAGACACCUGGGAGAGCGGAGUGUCCUUGGUGGAACUGUGAAGUGGAAAACCUGUUUGUCCAAGGGAAGGGGGACAAGACAAGGAUGCCUACUCUCUCCUUCCCUCUUCACCGUCUGCAUUGAACCACUUGCUGCAACCGUCCACCAGAACAAUCGUAUUAAAGGUGUGCAAUCCUCAAUGGUGUUUCUGCCUCCAGAGCUGUGGAGUCUGGAUCUGUGGUUUUAGGCUUCCUGCUGCCCCCAUGUUCCUGCUUGACACCCGCUGCUACAAUUACUAUUAUGAGCAUUAACACUGCUAUCAUUAUUAGCACUAUUAUUCUUUUACAU
Long non-coding RNA from Micropterus dolomieu (smallmouth bass), 462 nucleotides. RefSeq lists it as uncharacterized. The transcript has 3 exons. The record is from RefSeq and is a predicted model, not a curated record. Lineage: Eukaryota; Metazoa; Chordata; Actinopteri; Centrarchiformes; Centrarchidae.